CCUACGGGAGGCUGCAGUGAGGAAUAUUGGUCAAUGGGCGAGAGCCUGAACCAGCCAAGUAGCGUGCAGGAUGACGGCCCUAUGGGUUGUAAACUGCUUUUAUGCGGGGAUAAAGUGAGGGACGUGUCCUUCAUUGCAGGUACCGCAUGAAUAAGGACCGGCUAAUUCCGUGCCAGCAGCCGCGGUAAUACGGAAGGUCCGGGCGUUAUCCGGAUUUAUUGGGUUUAAAGGGAGCGUAGGCCGUGGAUUAAGCGUGUUGUGAAAUGCAGGUGCUCAACGUCUGCACUGCAGCGCGAACUGGUUCACUUGAGUGUGCGCAACGCAGGCGGAAUUCGUCGUGUAGCGGUGAAAUGCUUAGAUAUGACGAAGAACUCCGAUUGCGAAGGCAGCUUGCGGGAGCACAACUGACGCUGAAGCUCGAAAGUGCGGGUAUCGAACAGGAUUAGAUACCCCGGUAGUC
This 460-nucleotide ribosomal RNA is filed under the name uncultured Prevotella sp. Its description in RNAcentral is "bacterial SSU rRNA". It matches the Rfam family "Bacterial small subunit ribosomal RNA", at positions 338 to 795 of the family's 1533-position model. Lineage: Bacteria; Pseudomonadati; Bacteroidota; Bacteroidia; Bacteroidales; Prevotellaceae. The record is from RNAcentral.